This 245-nucleotide ribosomal RNA is filed under the name uncultured bacterium. RNAcentral's name for it is "partial 16S ribosomal RNA". It matches the Rfam family "Bacterial small subunit ribosomal RNA", at positions 524 to 768 of the family's 1533-position model. The record is from RNAcentral.
UACAGAGACCUCAAGCGUUAUCCGGAUUUAUUGGGCGUAAAGCGCAGGUAGGCGGGCAUGUUAGUCGGAUGUCAAAUAUCCCGGCUCAACCGGGAACAGGCAUUCGAAACGGCAUGCCUCGAGAUAGCGAGAAAUCAGUGGAAUUCACGGUGUAGUAGUGAAAUGCGUUGAUAUCGUGAGGAACACCAAAGGCGAAGGCAACUGAUUAGCGCUGUUCUGACGCUGAGCUGCGAAAGCGUGGGGAG